RNAcentral lists this ribosomal RNA (541 nucleotides) under uncultured bacterium. RNAcentral's name for it is "bacterial SSU rRNA". It matches the Rfam family "Bacterial small subunit ribosomal RNA", at positions 846 to 1387 of the family's 1533-position model. The record is from RNAcentral.
CCGGAGUAAACACAAUAAGCAUUCUGCCUGGGGAGUACGGCCGCAAGGUUGAAACUCAAAGGAAUUGACGGGGGCCCGCACAAGCAGCGGAGCAUGUGGUUUAAUUUGAAGCAACGCGAAGAACCUUACCAGGUCUUGACAUCCAGUAAAAGCGGUAGAGAUACCGUGUGUGCUUGCACAUACUGAGACAGGUGGUGCAUGGUUGUCGUCAGCUCGUGUCGUGAGAUGUUGGGUUAAGUCCCGCAACGAGCGCAACCCUUAUGAUUAGUUACUAACGCGUAAAGGCGAGGACUCUAAUGAGACUGCCGGGGACAACUCGGAGGAAGGUGGGGAGGACGUCAAAUCAUCAUGCCCCUUAUGACCUGGGCUACACACGUGCUACAAUGGCCACUACAAAGAGGAGCAAACCCGCAAGGGGGAGCGGAUCUCAAAAAAGUGGUCCCAGUUCGGAUUGUGGGCUGCAACCCGCCCACACGAAGUCGGAGUUGCUAGUAAUCGCGGAUCAGCAUGCCGCGGUGAAUACAUUCCCGGGCCUUGCACU